UGCCCUAGUAACGGCGAGUGAAGCGGCAACAGCUCAAAUUUGAAAUCUGGCUCUUUUAGAGUCCGAGUUGUAAUUUGCAGAGGGCGCUUUGGCGUUGGCAGCGGUCCAAGUUCUUUGGAACAGGACGUCACAGAGGGUGAGAAUCCCGUACGUGGUCGCUAGCCUUCGCCGUGUAAAGCCCCUUCGACGAGUCGAGUUGUUUGGGAAUGCAGCUCUAAAUGGGAGGUAAAUUUCUUCUAAAGCUAAAUACUGGCCAGAGACCGAUAGCGCACAAGUAGAGUGAUCGAAAGAUGAAAAGCACUUUGGAAAGAGAGUCAAAUAGCACGUGAAAUUGUUGAAAGGGAAGCGCUUGCAGCCAGACUUGCCUGUAGUUGCUUAUCCGGACUUUUGUCCGGUGCACUCUUCUGCGGGCAGGCCAGCAUCAGUCUAGGCGGUUGGAUAAAGGUCUCUGUCAUGUACCUCUCUUCGGGGAGGCCUUAUAGGGGAGACGACAUGCAACCAGCCUGGACUGAGGUCCGCGCAUCUGCUAGGAUGCUGGCGUAAUGGCUGUAAGCGGCCCGUCUUGAAACACGGACCAAGGAGUCUAACAUCUAUGCGAGUGUUUGGGUGUCAAGCCCAGACGCGUAAUGAAAGUGAACGGAGGUGGGAACCCUUUGGGUGCACCAUCGACCGAUCCUGAUGUCUUCGGAUGGAUUUGAGUAAGAGCAUGGCUGUUGGGACCCGAAAGAUGGUGAACUAUGCUUGAAUAGGGUGAAGCCAGAGGAAACUCUGGUGGAGGCUCGCAGCGGUUCUGACG
Molecule: ribosomal RNA, 796 nt
Filed under: Neosetophoma poaceicola
Lineage: Eukaryota; Fungi; Ascomycota; Dothideomycetes; Pleosporales; Phaeosphaeriaceae
Description: partial large subunit ribosomal RNA
Rfam family: Eukaryotic large subunit ribosomal RNA
Source: RNAcentral